RNAcentral lists this ribosomal RNA (451 nucleotides) under Lutjanus carponotatus (Spanish flag snapper). Its description in RNAcentral is "partial small subunit ribosomal RNA". It matches the Rfam family "Bacterial small subunit ribosomal RNA", at positions 788 to 1441 of the family's 1533-position model. The record is from RNAcentral. Lineage: Eukaryota; Metazoa; Chordata; Actinopteri; Lutjaniformes; Lutjanidae.
CACUAUGCCUAGCCAUAAACAUUGAUAGUAAACUACACGCACUAUCCGCCCGGGGACUACGAGCAUCAGCUUGAAACCCAAAGGACUUGGCGGUGCUUUAGAUCCACCUAGAGGAGCCUGUUCUAGAACCGAUUACCCCCGUUCAACCUCACCUUUUCUUGUUUUCCCCGCCUAUAUACCACCGUCGUCAGCUUACCCUGUGAAGGACUCAUAGUAAGCAAGAUUGGCACAGCCCAAAACGUCAGGUCGAGGUGUAGCGUAUGGAAAGGGAAGAAAUGGGCUACAUUCACUAAUAUAGUGAAACACGAACGAUACACUGAAAUACGUAUCUGAAGGAGGAUUUAGCAGUAAGCAGAAAAUAGAGCGUUCCGCUGAAACUGGCCCUGAAGCGCGCACACACCGCCCGUCACUCUCCCCAAGCUUACUAGCCUUAAAUACCUAAAGCCUAAAA